This 892-nucleotide ribosomal RNA is filed under the name uncultured Spirochaetota bacterium. RNAcentral's name for it is "bacterial SSU rRNA". It matches the Rfam family "Bacterial small subunit ribosomal RNA", at positions 31 to 916 of the family's 1533-position model. The record is from RNAcentral. Lineage: Bacteria; Pseudomonadati; Spirochaetota.
GAAUUGAGGGGCGUAUAGCAUGCAGUCGACGGGACCGCCCCGCGAGGGGUGGGGAGAGUGGCGAACGGGUGAGUAACACGUAGGUGAUCUGUCCCCGGGUGGGGUAUAGCCCAUGGAAACAUGGGGUAAUACCGCAUGAGGUCCUGGAGCUUGGAGGCUUCUGGAUGAAAGGCGCAAUUGUGUUGCCUGGGGAUGAGCCUGCGGCUCAUUAGCUAGUUGGCGGGGUAAGGGCCCACCAAGGCGACGAUGGGUAGCCGGCCUGAGAGGGUGUACGGCCACACUGGGACUGAGACACGGCCCAGACUCCUACGGGAGGCAGCAGCUAAGAAUCUUCCGCAAUGGGGGAAACCCUGACGGAGCGACGCCGCGUGGACGAAGAAGGCCGCAAGGUUGUAAAGUCCUUUUGCAGGCGAAGAAUAAGGAGGAGAGUGGAACGCUCUUCUGAUGACGUUAGUCUGCGAAUAAGCCCCGGCCAAUUACGUGCCAGCAGCCGCGGUAACACGUAUGGGGCAAGCGUUGUUCGGAAUCACUGGGCGUAAAGGGCGUGUAGGCGGUUCGAAAAGCCUGGCGUGAAAGGUGUCGGCCCAACCGACAGAGGGCGCUGGGAACUGCCGGACUGGAGUCACGGAGGGGGAGCUGGAAUUCCAGGUGUAGGGGUGAAAUCUGUAGAGAUCUGGAAGAACACCGGUGGCGAAGGCGAGCUUCUGGCCGAUGACUGACGCUGAGGCGCGAAAGCGUGGGGAGCAAACAGGAUUAGAUACCCUGGUAGUCCACGCUGUAAACGAUGUGCACUAGGUGUUGGUGCCAUACGGGCAUCGGUGCCGUAGCUAAGGCGAUAAGUGCACCGCCUGGGGAGUAUGCUCGCAAGGGUGAAACUCAAAGGAAUUGACGG